CUAUGCGCUUGGGCAUUUACAUUUGAAUCCCAUCCUUGUUUUAACCCCAAACCUUAAUCUAAGCACAUGUGGGAACAGUAAAGAUACAUUCUGUUAGAACUUGGAGAAUCCAAUUUAGGAGAGAAAAGCUGCUCUUGUAAUUGAGUGGCAGGGAACCUCUGGCCUGGGAAGGAGUGCCAUUUCUCGUUAAGGCUACCUAUCUAUUGUGAUCAUCUUGAGAGGCCCCCUGUGUGUCCUAACCUCCCCUAGAAACAGCCUUAGUUGGGAUCAGGGAGAAGGUCUCUCCAUGGGCUCUGCCUGGGCUUUGGAUCUUCCUUCCAACAAAAGCCUGUCAUAUCUCCAGUUGCCUUUGAAAUUUGUCUAGGAUAAUAGUGUGUCUUCUGAGGUCUUUCCUGACGACCAGAGGGGUUUGUGUGGCUUUUUUUCUUUCUUCUUUUUUUUACAGUACACAAUCCAUGCACCCAGGACUCCAGCCAGCCACCCUGGCUCUCAGCCAAGGUCCAACAAAACUCUCAGGUCAUCACUGUUUUCAAUUGGUUUGUGCUUUUCAGUCAGGUUUUGAUACAGCACUAGGCGCAUUGUGCAAAGGCUGCAGUGCACCGCUAAGAGCACACUUCCCCUGGCUGUGUUGGGAAGCAGCUAGGAUGGACGAAAGCUUCCAUUCAUAGGAUGCUAAUAGACAGCAGAUUUCCAAUUGAUCUUCUGAAUGAAAACUCUUCCCUGUUCGCUAUUGGCUGCUUCCACUUCAUUCAAGCAGACUGCAUGGAUGCAUGUGCAGUUUACAGGUGUUUCCAUUUACAAAUCCAAAAAAGUAAUGAAGAAGAAUGGGGUUGUAUCGCUGCCUUGUUUCUCCUCUGAAGGCCCAGAAGGGAAGGUGCCGUCUGCGCUCAGGCACAGUGCUGAGCCUUAAUUGCUAAUAGCAAUUCUGCCUAAUUAGAUAAUUAGAUUAACUACCCAAUUAACGGAGAUUGUUGUUAGACAAAAGCAGGUGGUGGCUCAAAGGUGAUGGGAAAGAUGCUACUUCUCUGUUUUAACGCACCUGAAGUCCCGGGCCCUUCUGUAACUUUUCACUUAUGUCCUCUUCCUCGAGGGUUCUUUUGUUAUCUUACUCCAGGCAAAGAACUCCCACCUCAGAGUGGUCUCUCCACUCACCUCUGCCAUCAGAGCACUACAGACUUCCUCAACUUGGUCUUGGACUAGAAUUUCCAUCCCUCCCCUCCAGCAUAGCCUCUCUGCAUCCUACCGGUUCUUCAUAGAAUCAUAGAGUUGUAGAACUGGAAGGGAUCCCAAAGGUCAUCAAGUCCAACUCCCUGCUUGAUUUAUAUAAAGCUUUUGACACUGGUUGUUUUUUUAAUGAGCAAGUUAGUUUAUUAUUUUAGAUAAUGUGGUCCUUUUUAAUUGUGGCUGCCCAAAAGUGUCCUAAGUGUGCAAAAUGUAUAAAAAACAAGGGAGUGCAAGAAGGCUAGCUUAUGCAGAGUAGACAGAGCAAGAAAGGAGAACAUGGUCCAGUUAGGUUGGAGGGGGCCCAUACCAUCUUGUGAGUCCUUCCUGAAUGUCUGCAGGAUGGAUUGGGGACAGCAAUCUUCCUAAUAUUCACAAUGGCAGAGAAUGGCACCAUGCUGUGAUUUGUAGCCGGUGGUUACAAGCCACCCAGCGUUUUACAUUUCCCACAAUGCCUCAGUGUAAUGCAGUGUUGAGGAACCACCAGCCUGCAGCCGUAAUUUAUGACUGUCCUAAUUUGGCCAACGUGGCAGUUUUCCUUAAGCCACACCACCUGCAGGUGAAGACACAGCUCCGUGCCAGAAGUUUAUAGGCCAGUCAAGGGUCCUUAAAAAACCCCUGUGCCUUUGCCUAUGUAGUUUGAUUUCAAACCACCCUGGCAAAGGGAGUGGGAUUUGCAGGCACCACCAGUCAGUGGCUGCAAACCCUUGUUCCUGUGAUGGUGUGGUUUGAAGAGCAGCUUUAUGGGGUGGGACUUGGAGUCAAGAGAAAGAAUUAAGCCCUUCUUCCAUAGCCCUGAUCCAGAGGUGCAUGUGUGUGGAGGGCCAGCUUAUGGGUGCUUUUAAGGGGGGAAAGGCGACAUGUCAAGAGAGCCGAUGAUGGCUAGCCUAGUUUGGCCCUUGUGAUUAUGGGCAGUGGUGUAGCGUAGGGGGAGCAGAAGGGUGGUUUCCCCAGGCACAAAUUUGUGAGGAGCAGGUUCUGUCUCAAUACAGAUGCGCACUUCCGUCACUGGGCUUUGUUGAAAACAGCUUCUCCGUGCAAACCAGGAAGUGACCUCUCCAGACAAUGGGACAACUCUUCUUUUCUUAUCUCUGCAGCUGCUAUCUCCUGGGUGAUGUUAGGCAGUUGAAUGCACAUGCGUACUCUCUUUCCCUCCCUCCCACCCAACCCUUCCGCGUGGCUCUGGGUGCUGGCAACCCACGCUACACCACUGAUUAUGGCACACAGAAAGGAGAGAGUCCUUAGCUUGCAUUCAGGUUCCGGGUCCGGUCCCCAGUACCCUUCACUUCAAAAGCCUGAGAAAGGCUCCUGUGUGAGACCAUGAACAGCCUCUGCUGGGCUGGAUGAAGCCAUGUGUCUGCUCAUCUGCCUGUGUGUAAUUUCAGUUUGGACGCAAAUGCCACUCUGUUAAGAUUACCACCGGCAACCCACCAAGUGCUAAUGCCGCGCAGCCCUCCUUCAUUUAAAUAGGUCUUGUGUGAGAAACUCUGCCCCCUUGGGGGGGAAAAACAUCACGGAGGCUUUCUGCGUCAGCAGUAGAGUGUCUGGUGCUUUGCACCCCAAGCCACACUACAAGGCAAUGAGCUGCGCAAUAUUCUCCCCACAGCCCACGCUCUUUAUUCCUGUAAAAAUAAAUGCUAAGGAAGUCUGCUCAAUCUGCAGGGAUGAAAUUUAUUGCCCUUAAACAGGCAGGCAUGUCCAAAUCAAUCUUUCCUGAGCUCUUGUGAGAGCGCUAUUGAAAUGAAAAUGAUAAAAAGCUAUUUCCUUAAAGAUUCUCUAAAAACGAACUAUGAAUAAUGAUCCAUGUGACAAAUUCAUCGGCCAUGUGUCCCCCCCCACCAAGCCCUUUCUUGUGAGGAAGUGCGUCGUGGUCGUCUCUUCCCAAACCAUGAAAAUCCUUUAUGUUCGUUCUCAGGGCUAGAAGAGUCAGACAGGCUGACUCCUAAGCACCCCACCCUCUCCCAAAUGGGCGCAAUGUGUUCUCAGAUCUGUUGUACAGACACUUUUUCCCCUCCUCCCAGCUGGAGCAGAUUCAGAACUACAUUAAGAGAAGGCAAGGAUGUAGCUGGAGCCUCUGGGCUGAGGAAAGGCACCCUCUGAAUGUAGCUAGAAAAUCUCUCUCUCUCCCACAAACACACCUACCUUUUAAACUUCUACAUUUUGCAGAAAUUGUCAGCAAUUGCCCUUUACUGACAUGCAGAAUAGCAGCCUAGUGUUUGUAUCAUUGUUCUGCAGAUACUGGCUACAACCCCAUACAGGGGGCAGUAGGGUUAAGUCCAUAAAUCAGUGCCAUUUCAGCUGAACUGUUGAGUUGCUGUGGCCAAGAAGGUUUGUUCGAUUUGGGGUCAGUGUGUGCCUUUGUGUUCAAGGACUCACUUUCAGAAGUGCCCGGUUGCCCAAGACCUAUCGAAAACCAGUAGAAUCCUAUGUAUGGGUUGCACCAAAGUGAUCAGUACUUAAUUUGUGCUUUUAAAUGGCUUAAGUUGCCCUUCUCCUCAUUUCUUGCCUUCUCACCUGUAUUCUAUGCCCCUUGCUCUUUCUUUUUGUCUUUGUCUUUCCCUGUUCACCACAAACUAGCAAUUGCUGGUUCCCUUUUACUAAAAGUGCUCUCAGCAAAGCUUCUGGUUACUUUUGCCAAGACUCCUACUUGAUUCUCAGUGUCCAUAUUGCGUCUGCCGCCUGAGAUGCUGCCACUGUCAACAAUCUCUCUCUCUCUCUCUCUCUCUCUCUCUCUCUCUCUCUCUUUCUCUCUCUCUCUCUCCUUCUGGGACUCUUUGUUCUUCCCCUUAUCUAACUCCUUUCUCUCUUCUACAUACUGAGCUCAAUCCUUGUGCCAGCUCCUGGAGCCCCUUACUCCAUCUGCUCCUGUUCCAAACUUUUACUGCCUAUCAAAAAGGAUGGUGAUUUUAUCCCUCUUUGAGUCGAAAUGUGAAGGCAGCUAAGCACCUCAAACCAGAUCAGGACUCUCACAACGUCUUGCGUCUUUCCUGCCAUGUCUUCAUUUCUGUCCACUGGAGCCCUAUGUUUUUCCGCCUGUAUCUGGGUUCAUGUGUUUUUUAAAAAACAAAAAAUCAAAAACAAGAAGUGAGGCUCUUUAAAUGAUGACUGAGGAACACACAAGAGUUAGGGUGGUUUUGUUAUUCUUAAAGCAGAACAGUGCAGGAUUCCACACACACACUCCAAAAAAAGCUUCCUUUGAUUUUUGAUUUUUUGAAAGUAUCUACUGCUGUGCUUCAAACUCCACCUCUAAAUUGUUUUAAGGUAAGAAAGAGACAUAUUCCCACUCUCUUCUCCUUCUUGAAAUAUGAUACGAAUAUGGACUUUUUGGAGUUUGAGUUGGCCUAAUAAAGGUAUUGGCCUAAUAUGGAUUAGGGAUGAGAGUGAAUCCUUCUUACUUUCCCCAUAAGAGCCUCUGGACCUAUUUGUCUCCAAUCUGGCAGGCUUAACCCACUCUGCAGGGGGCCCAGUGCCUGCAAAUUCCACCCAUUUUUGCCAGAAGCCUUGCCGCGAGUUGGGAAGGGGGAGAUUCAGCAAAGGCAACACCCUUGCAAGGGGCAGUAUGGGACUGGAAGUGCCACUCCACUCUGCCGCACUGCCUCUGCUGCAAGAUCUUGGUGGAAAUUGGCGCUGAUUCCAGCACUGCUUCCAUGAGCAAGCGGGGCCCCCUCAGAAGCACUGUCUCGGGGAUUUCCACCCCUUGAAGCAGCUGUUUCUCUGCACCUCACUAUUGGUGGAAGGAAAAUUUAAUGCCAUUCCAUAUAUUUAAGGCACUCUUAUGCCACUUUAGCGGCCAUGAGUUCCCCCCAAAGAGUCCUGAGAACCGUCCUUUGUUAAGGGUGCUGGAAAUCACAGCUCUGUGAGGGGUCUCCUAAGAACUCUUAGCACCCUUAACAAACUACAGUUCCCAGGACUAUUUGUGGGAAGCCAUGACAUGCUUUAUAUUUAAAUGCUUUACAUACACAUUGUGGAUGUGACCCAUAUGUGAAUCACUUUUGGUUUCCACUUUUGGUAGUGGAAAACGAUGCUACACUUGUUUCUAUUGUGCAAUUGUCAUAGAGACAAAGGAACUAGACUUAUUUGUCCUUUCUAGGAAGUUCUCCAGAAUAGUAUGUGAUAGCCUUCCUGGUCAUUGACUUGCAAACUUCGUAUUCUCACCUCUGUAACAUCUGUAAGCAACUUUCACAGAAUUGCUAACGGGUGCUGGGGUUUUUAAUCAGCAUUUUUAAAUCAGUGAAGAACACAUUGUUACAGUGAGCCUUUCUGUAUUCUUAUGUUUCCAUUGUAUGGAAUAAAAAGAAUUGUUUUGG
Non-coding RNA from Podarcis lilfordi (Lilford's wall lizard), 5528 nucleotides. Lineage: Eukaryota; Metazoa; Chordata; Lepidosauria; Squamata; Lacertidae. The record is from the annotation of a GenBank genome assembly.